GGGGCGUAGCUCAGUUGGUUAGAGCAGCUGACUCUUAAUCAGCGGGUCGUGGGUUCGAGUCCCUCCGCCC
Molecule: transfer RNA, 70 nt
Filed under: bovine gut metagenome
Rfam family: tRNA
About the family: Transfer RNA (tRNA) molecules are approximately 80 nucleotides in length. Their secondary structure includes four short double-helical elements and three loops (D, anti-codon, and T loops).
Source: RNAcentral